UCGCCAAAUUGGUCAAAUUUGUUAAUGUAAACAAAUAUUAUUACAAUUAAAAGCACGUUAAGAUGGAAUAUAUUACUAAAAUAUUACGAUUUUCUUUUUCCAUCAAUUUAGCUCCAACUUACAAUGAUAUCAAUGUUUCUAAAAGGAAGUUUCGCCUGGGAGAUACUUUAGAGAGGUUAUUUUUCGACUUUUUCGUAAGCAAUGGUUCUCCGAUCAACUGUAGGUUAUUGAAAUUAAUUUAGAACUGACCAAAAAUAUCAUCAUUUAUUGUUGAUUAUUCAAAA
This is a non-coding RNA of Cinara cedri, 284 nucleotides long. NCBI's taxonomy places the organism in Eukaryota, Metazoa, Arthropoda, Insecta, Hemiptera, Aphididae. The record is from the annotation of a GenBank genome assembly.